CGCAGCCGCGGUAAUUCCAGCUCCAAUAGCGUAUAUUAAAGUUGUUGCAGUUAAAAAGCUCGUAGUUGAAUUUCGGGAUCAAUAUGUCGGUCGUGCCUUGGUACGUACUGGUAUCAUUGGUCUCUCCUUUCUGACGAACCAUGAUGUCAUUAAUUUGGUGUUAUGGGGAGUUAGGACUGUUACUUUGAAAAAAUUAGAGUGUUUAAAGCAGGCUUUAGCUUGAAUACAUUAGCAUGGAAUAAUGAAAUAGGACGUUCGAACCUAUUUUGUUGGUUUCUAGGAUCAACGUAAUGAUUAAUAGGGAUAGUUGGGGGCAUUAGUAUUCAAUUGUCAGAGGUGAAAUUCUUGGAUUUAUUGAAGACUAACUACUGCGAAAGCAUUUGCCAAGGAUGUUUUCAUUAAUCAAGAACGAAAGUUAGGGGAUCGAAGACGAUCAGAUACCGUCGUAGU
This 450-nucleotide ribosomal RNA is filed under the name uncultured Glomeromycotina. Its description in RNAcentral is "SSU rRNA". It matches the Rfam family "Eukaryotic small subunit ribosomal RNA", at positions 569 to 1024 of the family's 1831-position model. The record is from RNAcentral. Lineage: Eukaryota; Fungi; Glomeromycota.